GGAGCUAUAGCUCAGUGGUAGAGCUCAUGCUUAGCACGCAUGAGGUCCUGGGUUCAAUCCCCAGUAUCUCCA
RNAcentral lists this transfer RNA (72 nucleotides) under Camelus bactrianus (Bactrian camel). It matches the Rfam family "tRNA". Rfam says of the family: Transfer RNA (tRNA) molecules are approximately 80 nucleotides in length. RNAcentral also lists the same sequence under 1 other name. Lineage: Eukaryota; Metazoa; Chordata; Mammalia; Artiodactyla; Camelidae. The record is from Rfam by way of RNAcentral.